GGCCCCGCCCGCCCCGCGCCUGCGCGCAGCCCCGCCCCCGGCCGCGGGCGGCCCGGCCCGGCUGAGCCGCGGCGCGAUGCGAGGAGGCGGCGGCGGCGGCACCGCCACUGGGACCCGCGCCGGGACCCGCGCCCGGGCCUGCUGCGAGCCGCGCCGCCCGCUGCCGCCGGGGCGGAGGUUGCGAAGAUGGCGCAGUCCCCUCGUGCCCCGCUGCUGCUGGAAGACUAGAGCUUGAACGGGCGCGACGCACGCCGCUGCUGCCGCGCUGUUCCAUGCUUCAGGCAGACCAUAGGCAGUGACGCUCUC
This 306-nucleotide long non-coding RNA is filed under the name Anser brachyrhynchus (Pink-footed goose). RNAcentral describes it as "lncRNA (ENSABRG00000014405.1)". Lineage: Eukaryota; Metazoa; Chordata; Aves; Anseriformes; Anatidae. The record is from RNAcentral.